Sycon ciliatum is the source of this 1164-nucleotide long non-coding RNA. RefSeq lists it as uncharacterized. The record is from RefSeq and is a predicted model, not a curated record. The transcript is spliced from 3 exons. NCBI's taxonomy places the organism in Eukaryota, Metazoa, Porifera, Calcarea, Leucosolenida, Sycettidae.
ACAUAACACUAACAGGUAGAAGAUCUAAACGGAAAUGCGAUGUCCUCAGCUGUCUACGGUAAGCCUGACCGGCCUUGGCUACUGUACUGGCUAUUAUGAUGAUUUCCGAGAUGUAGACGUCAUCAUGUUUCAAUACCGACCCUGUGCUACCUGGGAGAAUCAUGUGACCCUGUCUGACCGGCCUUGGCAGCUGUACUUGUGAUCAUGGUGUUGUACGAGCGGUAGAUGUGAUCAUGUUUCAAUAUCGAACCUGUCCUCCUACAUAAAGGCAUACCCUGUCUGCUGAAGAUCGCAAACUGGACUGAACGCCGUGCGUUGAGAAGUCUCUGAAGAUCAGUCUGCAGUAGUCAGUCAGUUAUCAAACACUCCGUAAGCAAUUGAUGGUGUCCGCUUCAGUUCUUUCUCGCGCACAGAAUGGCCGCCCGUGAGCAGUAUGUCGAGCUACAUAUGGGGUGCCCAGCGGUGGGCUGCCCUGACAGCCGAAAACGAGACUUGACUACCAAGAACUGGUUUAGCGCCACUUGUGGUGGUGUGAUGAUGAUCAGCCAGUUUGGAAAUUUGAAAUGCAAGUGCACUAGUCGUUCAUCCAAGUGUGUUCAGGCCCAGAUGUAUUCGUUUCGCUUCGACUGUGGACUUCGCGGACCGGGCUCUCCACAUGACAAUGAACUCAGCCGAUACCGCGAGGCAGAUCUCCAGGGCAUUACCCACGCGAUAGGUGCAGCAUUGGCAAUGAACUACCUUAUGUCCAACGGCCUGGCAUGGGUGAAAAGCCUCCUGGACGCCAUAGAUCAGCAAUAUCCAGACGCCAAAAAAUGAUUCUUUAAUGAUGUGUUGAAAUAACAUGCUGCAGUUUAAUAACUACAUGGUAUAGUUCUGUGGUUCUGCAUACUUACAUUUCUCUCGGGGUUUUUUCUUUUCCUUUUUUUCACAACCAUCACAUGUACCAGAGCUCAAAGAGACAGAAGCGGAAAGGUUAGCAUUUGCUGCCUUGUACGCGAACUGUUCUAUUAUUAUUAUUAUAGUUCUGUAACAUAUACAUAUACUUACUUCCAAGUACAACCCGAAUUCGUACUUUCUCUGCAGAACUGAUUCAAUGAACAGUCAAAUGUGUAGUAAUAGUGUGUCUUGAAACUAAAAAUACUUUGUUCUACAUGUUGAUCACGA